GAGUUUGAUCCUGGCUCAGAACGAACGCUGGCGGCAUGCCUAACACAUGCAAGUCGAACGAACUCUUCGGAGUUAGUGGCGCACGGGUGCGUAACGCGUGGGAAUCUGCCCUUGGGUACGGGAAUAGCUCAGAGAAAUUUGUGCUAAUACCGUAUAAUGACUUCGGUCCAAAGAUUUAUCGCCCAAGGAUGAGCCCGCGUAAGAUUAGCUAGUUGGUGGGUAAAGGGACCGUACCAACGGCUACGAUCUUUAGUCUGGUCUGAGAGGAUGAUCAGCCACACUGGGACUGAGACACGGCCCACGACUCCUACGGGAGGCGAGCAGU
Molecule: ribosomal RNA, 325 nt
Filed under: uncultured microorganism
Description: bacterial SSU rRNA
Rfam family: Bacterial small subunit ribosomal RNA
Source: RNAcentral